AACGAACGCUGGCGGCAUGCCUAACACAUGCAAGUCGAACGGGAUCCUAGCUUGCUAGGUGAGAGUGGCGGACGGGUGAGUAACACGUGGGAAUCUGCCUUUUGGUUCGGGAUAACCGCGGGAAACUGCGGCUAAUACCGAAUGCCCUCGAGAGAGGAAAGAUUUAUCGCCAGAAGAGGAGCCCGCGUCCGAUUAGGUAGUUGGUGGGGUAAAGGCCUACCAAGCCGACGAUCGGUAGCUGGUCUGAGAGGAUGAUCAGCCACACUGGGACUGAGGUACGGCCCAGACUCCUACGGGAGGCAGCAGUGGGGAAUAUUGGACAAUGGGGGCAACCCUGAUCCAGCCAUGCCGCGUGUGUGAAGAAGGCCUUCGGUGUAAGCACUUUGUUGGGAGAAAGACCGCUGGUAAUACCGGUGGUCAUGACGGUACCAACGAAUAAGACACCGGCUAACUUACGUGCCAGCAGCCGCGGUAAU
Molecule: ribosomal RNA, 476 nt
Filed under: uncultured bacterium
Lineage: Bacteria
Description: bacterial SSU rRNA
Rfam family: Bacterial small subunit ribosomal RNA
Source: RNAcentral